ACUUUGUUUUCAUAAUGAGAUUUUAAAAUGAUCAUCAUAUUGUGCCAACUUCUCACUUUCAAAACUGUGUUGCUUACAUAAUUUUUUUUAUGCGGAAGUACAUUUUUGAGUCUGGCCCAUGACUUUUUGUGCAUAAUUUGGACUUCAAAAUAAAUGAGCGUAAAAAAAUAUGCAAGCAAUUCAAUGUGUUGUUUGAAACAAUUAUGUUUGUCGCUUCAAGGUUAAGGUCACAGUUAACACUUUAACAUUUAGUUAAUUUCUCUUCGUGAUGUAAUUAAAGAACAUAUUUUUGUCCAGCCUUUAACAUUGUUGUGCACCACAGAAAGACAUACAGCUAGAUGUAUUCUGUUUUCAUUAACAUAACAUGGCAAUAUACAUGUAUUGCAAAUGACUCAGAUAAGAAUAACAAUUUUUCCAAAGUUUCAGUCGCUGCGUUUUGAAUGUGCAAUUCACACAGAUAUUCUCAUUUAAUAUGUGAUUUAUAUCAAUGUUAUAUAUUUCCAAAUAUGCAUAUAGUUUUUAGUUGAUGUCUCGUAAAAAAUACCAACAAAUUUGGCUCUAGCAAGAAAUCAAUACCAAACACAAAACAAAGAAGUGCUUUCAUCAUUUAUAGCAGAGAUUUCAGUUUGCAUUUUUGUUCGCAAAUGUACAUACAAUUUGAUUGAAUAAUAUGUUUAAUGGAUUUUUUGAAUGGAUCCUAAAUAGGAAAACAGUCAAUAAAAAACUAUGAUUUUUUCUUGUUGCAGAGGAGGACAAAUUUUGCAUAAUUUAAAUAGUGCUACUCAAUGGUCACAUGUAGUCAUUAAGAAUCUGAGAAUAGAGCAGGUAAAUUCACAUUACUGUCUCUGUACAUCAUCUUUAAGGUUUAUAAGGAACAAGAACAGAUUAUUGACAGAUUCAUAAUAAACACCUCUUUCAAGCAAAUUCUUCAUGCAAUUUACAGCGUUUAUUUUUUCUUCACAGUAAAAACUCUUGAAUUUGCUCAUAACAAUGUCUUCUUACAAAAACAAAGAGAAACUUUAGAGAAAGCAUACACAUUUUUUUAUAACAGCAUCAUAAGAAAAUUAAUUCACACUCGUUUCAAAAAUAUUGUAUAAAUUAUACAAUAUAAUGUCAGCGGUUUUUCAGCACUGUAUGCGCCUCCGGAAAACGGAGGCACUCCCAAAGCAAACGGACCCGAUCCCAAACCGAAAUCAUAAAAAAUAUCCCAAUUUCAAAAAAAAAAAUUUUUUUUUUUUUUUAAGAAUGCAGUGUCUUAUAACUUGUGUGACUAACCAGUGUUUGUUUUGGUGAAAACAAUCUGCUAUAAGGUUUUGACUGUUCAGUUCUUAUCUCAGAGUGUAACUGUAACUGAAAAACAACAAAACUGCAGUACUUGAAUAAACGUUGAACAUGCCCAAUAUUGCAUCUGUUUAUAUAAAGAAUGCAAAGUAACAAAUAAAAACAAAUUUAUUUGUAAAACCACUGAAUUACUUAAGCAUGAUAAAUUCACAUUUUUUAUCCAAAUUAGCUGUUUCAUCGAAGCAAAAAUUCCCAAAUUGACCAAUUUUGUUGAUAAAAAUUCCCAAUUUGGUCAGACUCCUUUUCCCAAAACAGGCAGAAAAAAAUGUUUCAACUAAAUACUAAAAGCCUUAUUAAAUUAUUUUGAAACAAGAAAAUGUGGACAAUCAUUAAAAAUAAUGAGUAGAAUUUUAAAAUUCUACUUAAAAAAAAAAUAAUUAUGAUAAUUUAAGUUUUUUUUAAAAUUUACUAAUGAUCAUGAUAAACUUCUGUAUUACGUAAACCAUAAUAAUACAACAUAAAAUGCUAUUUAUGAAAAAAAGUUUUAACUUAACAAUGCCAUUGUAUUUACAAAAAGAUACACCCAAUUAUAUCAGACACAUAUUAAUAAUCAACCAAUAUAUUAUUUUGAUUUUUUUUUUAUACAUGACCUGUCAUCAUAGAUAUUAUAGCCAGUACAUGUACUACAAUAGUCAAUUAUAGUCUGUAUUGCAUAUAUUCAAUCGUCUAUGAUCGAUUCACAUCCUCAAACUGACCAAAUAUGUAUUGUUUACACCUAAAAAUGUAGUGAAUCCAGUUUCAUUUUCGGUUUGGUUGGUUUGUCAACUCUUUAAGUUCAUUUUCAAAAUCUGACAAUGACAUGAUUAAAUAAUGUAUGAAAAGUUAUCGUUAGGAUAAUAGUUUAAAAUGCAACACAGAUGAACGUUGACAUUGCUAUUUAUAUCAAAGUUACAGUAGAAAGUUAAUUUCUAGUUCAAUGUGCGUUAUUAACAGCCUUUUAACAUUGAUGGACUGAUAACCUUUUGGGAAGUAUAGUAGAAAUACAAGCCAGAAUGGCGAUCAUUAACACGAGGCCUAUCUUACAGAUUCAAAUGAAGCAAUUAGAAUGAAAACAGUUAACAAUGACAAAUAGUCCUUUUAUUUAAAGAACGCUGCACAAUAAGGAUGAUGUGAAUGAAGACAAGUGUGAUAUGAUUAAGGAACUGACGUAAUGAGAAUGAACUAGGCACAAGAAAAGUGUGUUUUGACUAUUUCUCUCUCUAUAUAUAUAUGCACUUUUUUUAACACUAUGUCACAUUCUUUGGUUUUGAAGACCAACGUUGGGUUCACACCAAAGUGCAGUGCUACCAUGCCCUCUGUGUACAUAAUACCCAAUAACUGCAGUGCCAGUUUAACUCCUUUAUUAACCCAUUUUUGCCUAGCGUCUAGAAAGGCCUUGGCAAACAGUGUAGAUCCAGAUGAGACGCUGCAUGAUGCGGCGUCUCAUCAGGGUCUGCGCUGUUUGCCUGAAGGAAUUUCUGUAAGAAAUAUAAAAAUAAGUUCCCUAAUUUUGGAAAUACAUUGUUCUGCCGCCGGCAACCCCUGCCGUGGUGGUACGGUAACGGGACAAGGUUCCAGGCAUAUGCACGCAGGUCCGUUGUUGCACAACAACGAUAUUUAAUAUUUGUAUGGAAGAAUGACGAAGUCCGAGUUCCGGUUAAGACAUUGAUUUAUUUUUCUAUUGGCUUCGCAUGGUAUUCUUAUAAUGGCAUUGGUAAUUACAUCAAAGUACAUAGGUUAUACACAUGCCAAAUCUGGUACAUUGAUGAAUUAUAAUAUUGUCAUAUCUAGGCCUAACUGUCUCUGAGCUCCGUACCCAUCAUAACAAUGGACAAACAUGGCCACUGUUUAUUAUUAUUGUUGUCAGGAAAGUAACUGGUUAUUUAUUAUAAUAUAUACGGAGCAGCUCCGGAUGGAACUGUUCUGAAAAUACGGGAAUGUUUACUUUGUUAUAUACCUCGCUUUCUGUCAUCCGGAGUGGUUGAUAUUUAAAUUACAAAGGAGGUUUCGUCUGAAACGUGUUAGGAAAGAUUGGCAAAUGCUCCGGAAAAGUCUGGGUUUAUAUACCCUAUGAAUCACUCCGGAUGACGUCAUAAAAAUUAUGACGUGUACGGAGCUCUGUAGAAUAAGAAUUCACGGUCAUAACCGAGCAACGUUUCGGCGAUGUUCGUAGCGCACGGAACAUGCCGAAGCGUAUAGUUUGAAGUCAACAUGUAUAUUUAAGGAUAAUAUAUUCUUAACAAUUAUUUAUAUUACUAUAGUAAACCAACAUAAACUCCGACAUCUUGCUACAUAGAGUGAAAACAGUAGAAUAUAAUUUAACAUCCAUUAUACUGCAAAAGAUUGAGGGAACGCCCAAGACGACAAUUCGAUUCGUCUGGAAUUAGUACUAUAUUUAGAUCGAGGUCUCCCGGACAUGCAGGUUGUUUAAUGUUUAGCAAAUAAAGUUACAAUUAAAUUUAAUUAUGCGUAGUAGCAUUUCAUGACGAAAGCUUUCUAACACUGCACUCUCCAUGAAAAAGGGAUUCAGACCCCGAAUACAGAGCGAAACAGGUAAGUCUUAACAAUUAAGGAAAAAUCCCAAUGCUAAAUUGAAAUUUUAAAUUGAUCACGCCUAAGUUAAUUAACAUAUACGAAGCAGGGAAAGCACUCAUCAUGUAACAAACAAAUUAAUUUUAAGGAGUUGUCUUCCCGGAAAAUGAGUAAUCGCAACAUUAGCAAAACAAUAACAUUAAACAAUUAAAAUUUAUGUAACGAUUAAUUAUUAAUGCUGUACAGUAAGGUAUAUAUUUCACAAGAUACAAUAAAUUGUCUUAUUGCAAUCAAGUGUAACAUGUAGUCCAAAUAAUAAGACUAGUAUAUCAAUUGUAAUAAUAAACAAAUGUACAUGACCAUUUUCAGAUAUACAAGUAGCAGGUACACAUUUGGGAGUCCCAGUCGGGCAUAUUUACUUGAACAAUACAAGGGUGCCAAAAUCUCACAAGGACUGAUUUAAACAGAAUUUAGACCGGGUGGGUCUCACACGUCUGUCCAGGGAUCCUCAACAUAAAUGGCGGAUGCAGUUGGUGUAAGGGACCAAAGCAAGAAACCAAUGGUAGUGCAAGUAAAGCCUACGUCUCCACCCUGCCCCGUUAAAAGGAGUAAAGGUAUGUUAAGGAAUGUUAUUUUAAAGGGAUCAGGAUCAUAAGGUCAACUCUGUGGGGAUCAUGGGUUCCGGAGCAGAGACAGUAGGUUCUCCGAUGGCAAGGUCAAUGGGCAAGUUCAUCUCCCGGCCGAACAUCAUCAUAGAUGGAGUGAAACCUGUGCUUGAGUGUAUGCUGGAGUUGUAAGCCAGUACCAGUAAAGCAGGAGCUGUAUAAUAAGUUCCAGUGCAGUCCGGAGUCCGGAGGAAGCUUAAUUAACAUAAAGGUCCUUAAGUUCAGUGGAAACCAGCCACAGAAUCUCGUGGAGCUAAUCAAUUACCAUUAGCGCGCGUUAUGCAUAGAUUGCCAAUCUUUACAUAACAAGGACUGCACAUUGAACUUUAAAUGAAUGUACGAAUAAAAACAAAGUACUGUGGUGUUUGUUGUCACUAUGAAAACAAUAUAGGUAUUAUGGUUCAUAGAAAUCAUAUAAGUAAACCUGGACAAUUCUUGUAAUAAUCGACCAAGAUGAUACUGUGACGUCUUAUUUUUACAUACGUCAUAUAUUAAGUGACGAAAUCGUUACAUAAUCUAAAAGUGCAGUUAUUGCAAAUGAUAUAUGAAAAUUGUGUCUGAAGUAGACGACUGUCGAAAUAACCCGACUUUGUUCUAAAUCCUGUGAUUAAUAUUAUUAGAAUUAUCAUGUGGAAUAAUUGGAUCAAUAAACGCAUUCUCUAUUGAAAGGCAUGUGUUAUCUCUGGCAACGAGAAAGCAACUUCUUAAAAUGGUUACGUUUGCUCGAAAAACAUAGAUGCCGAGGGGCGGUGCAUUUUUCCUUAUUAGGCUAUAUAUGGCUAUAGUAAAAUCUUGUUUACACUCUAGAGGCCACAGUUAUUGUCUGAUCUUUAUGAAACUUGGUCGGAAGAUUCGUCCCAAUAAUAUCUUGGACGAGUUCGAAAAUGGAAACCUUUGCUUGAAAAACAUGGCUGCCUAAGGGGCGGGGCAAUUUUCCUUAUAUGGCUAUAGUAAAAUCUUGUUAACACUCUAGAGGCCAUAUUUAUUGUUCGAAAAUGAUGCCGGUUUGUUGAAAUAUAUGGCCGACUGGGGGCGGGGCAUUUUUCCUUAUAUGGAUAUACUCUAUAGUAAAACCUUGUUAACACUCUAGAGGCCACAUUUAUUUUGCGAUCUUCAUAAAACUUGGUCAGAAGAUUUGUCCCACUGAUAUCUUGGAUGAGUUCAAAAAUGGUAACCUUUGCUUGAAAAACAUGGCUGCCAAGGGGCGGGGUAUUUUUCCUUAUAUGGCUAUAUAUGGCUAAAGUAAAAUCUUGUUAACACUCUAGAGGCCACAUUUAUUGUCCAAUCUUCAUGAAACUUGUUCAGAAGAUUCAUCCCAAUAAUAUCUUCAAUUCAAUAUGUUGUUUGAAACAAUUAUGUUGGUUGCUUCAAGGUUAAGUUCACAGUGAACACUUAAACAUGUAUUUUUUUAUUAUUUAUAAUUAAAGAUCUGUUUUGUCCAGCCUUCAAAAUUGUUGUGCACCACAGAAAGACUUACAGAUAAAUGUAUUCUGUAAAACAAAUCGAUAUAACAUGGAAAUAUACUGCAAAUGAUGCGGCAAAGUUUCAAGGACUG
Dreissena polymorpha is the source of this 6072-nucleotide long non-coding RNA. RefSeq lists it as uncharacterized. Lineage: Eukaryota; Metazoa; Mollusca; Bivalvia; Myida; Dreissenidae. The transcript has 6 exons. The record is from RefSeq and is a predicted model, not a curated record.